Long non-coding RNA from Drosophila arizonae, 615 nucleotides. NCBI's taxonomy places the organism in Eukaryota, Metazoa, Arthropoda, Insecta, Diptera, Drosophilidae. The record is from RefSeq and is a predicted model, not a curated record.
UUAAUUUGCACAUAAUCGUAAUGUAUCAUAUACUUACCUUUAGUUUUAUUUGAGGCUUUCGGUUGUUAGGCUGGUUCUUUAAUUUCUUAUCUUUAUAAAGUGUCAAGUAGUAAUUUGAUAAGGAAAUAAAUCGUAUAAGCUCAAUAUUGUUGCUAGUGAUUGUUUUGGUCAUUCUAAACACAAAAAGCUGGAGACCAUUUGAUAUACUCUACCUAUUGUUGUCUGGGGCAGCAGGCAGCUCUACUACUACUCUCACUCACAGACAGACAAGAAUGAAAGAAAAUGUCACAAGUCCACUUCACUGCUCUUUCAGGAGUCGAGUCUGAAAUGCCCUAAUAUAAAAUAUAUAUACAAAAUCAUAUAUAAAUCACACCAAAGAUCAAAAGCCUAUAAAAAUUGAAAGAAAAACACGUGAGCGCCUGCGAUCUGGUGGCCAGAGUCUUUAGAGUCAAAUAAGAGCCAAAGCAACCAGUCAACAAACCAUCCCAACCACUAGCCAGCGCUAAUACCCAAUUAACGAAACGAAUAUUGAAAUAUGUGUGGAGACAUUUCGCCGUGAUCUACUUAUCUAUGUGUGUGCUCCAAAGCCUAUCUAUCACUUUAUACAUAAAUAGA